GAUGAACGCUGGCGGCGUGCCUAAUACAUGCAAGUCGAGCGAACAGACGAGGAGCUUGCUCCUCUGACGUUAGCGGCGGACGGGUGAGUAACACGUGGAUAACCUACCUAUAAGACUGGGAUAACUUCGGGAAACCGGAGCUAAUACCGGAUAACAUGUUGAACCGCAUGGUUCAACAGUGAAAGACGGUCUUGCUGUCACUUAUAGAUGGAUCCGCGCCGCAUUAGCUAGUUGGUAAGGUAACGGCUUACCAAGGCAACGAUGCGUAGCCGACCUGAGAAGGUGAUCGGCCACACUGGAGCGGGGACACGGUCCAGAGUCCUACGGGAGGCAGCAGUAGGGAAUCUUCCGCAAUGGGCGAAAGCCUGACGGAGCAACGCCGCGUGAGUGAAGAAGGUCUUCGGAUCGUAAAACUCUGUUAUUAGGGAAGAACAAAUGUGUAAGUAACUAUGCACGUCUUGACGGUACCUAAUCAGAAAGCCACGGCUAACUACGUG
RNAcentral lists this ribosomal RNA (497 nucleotides) under uncultured bacterium. RNAcentral describes it as "partial 16S ribosomal RNA". It matches the Rfam family "Bacterial small subunit ribosomal RNA", at positions 28 to 507 of the family's 1533-position model. The record is from RNAcentral.